GGAUGAAGAACGUAGCGAAAUGCGAUAAGUAGUGUGAAUUGCAGAAUUCAGUGAAUCAUCGAAUCUUUGAACGCACAUUGCGCCCUUUGGUAUUCCAAAGGGCAUGCCUGUUCGAGCGUCAUUUGUACCCUCAAGCUUUGCUUGGUGUUGGGCGUCUUGUCUCUAGCUUUGCUGGAGACUCGCCUUAAAGUAAUUGGCAGCCGGCCUACUGGUUUCGGAGCGCAGCACAAGUCGCACUCUCUAUCAGCAAAGGUCUAGCAUCCACUAAGCCUUUUUUUCAACUUUUGACCUCGGAUCAGGUAGGGAUACCCGCUGAACUUAAGCAUAUCAAUAAGCGGAGGA
Molecule: unclassified non-coding RNA, 342 nt
Filed under: soil metagenome
Description: partial contains 5.8S ribosomal RNA, internal transcribed spacer 2, and large subunit ribosomal RNA
Rfam family: 5.8S ribosomal RNA (bases 2-121)
Source: RNAcentral